This 491-nucleotide ribosomal RNA is filed under the name uncultured bacterium. RNAcentral's name for it is "partial 16S ribosomal RNA". It matches the Rfam family "Bacterial small subunit ribosomal RNA", at positions 29 to 506 of the family's 1533-position model. The record is from RNAcentral.
AGUGAACGCUGGCGGUAGGCCUAACACAUGCAAGUCGAACGGCAGCACAGUAAGAGCUUGCUCUUACGGGUGGCGAGUGGCGGACGGGUGAGGAAUACAUCGGAAUCUACUUUUUCGUGGGGGAUAACGUAGGGAAACUUACGCUAAUACCGCAUACGACCUACGGGUGAAAGCAGGGGAUCUUCGGACCUUGCGCGAUUGAAUGAGCCGAUGUCGGAUUAGCUAGUUGGCGGGGUAAAGGCCCACCAAGGCGACGAUCCGUAGCUGGUCUGAGAGGAUGAUAGGCCACACUGGAACUGAGACACGGACCAGGCUCCUACGGGAGGCAGCAGUGGGGAAUAUUGGACAAUGGGCGCAAGCCUGACCCAGCCAGACCGCGUGGGUGAAGAAGGCCUUCGGGUUGUAAAGCCCUUUUGUUGGGAAAGAAAAGCAGCAGGUUAAUACCCCGCUGUUCUGACGGUACCCAAAGAAUAAGCACCGGCUAACUUCGG